CAGAAGCAGAUAGACAAAUAUAAAAAAGAAAGGAGCCACAUUGUGGAAAACCAGCUUUCAAGUAUCUUUCAAGAAAUUUUACCGGUUACCAACUCGGAUGAUAAGGAACAUGAGCCAUGUGAACGUCGAUCGGUUAAAAUAGUACCGAGUGAUGACAUGACAGAUAAUGAAGACGAGAUUCCGGUACGAAGCAGACGUAAUAAGUGGCGCAGAAUUCAAAUAAGUCCGUAUCUCUCCG
Long non-coding RNA from Venturia canescens, 238 nucleotides. RefSeq lists it as uncharacterized. The transcript is spliced from 3 exons. NCBI's taxonomy places the organism in Eukaryota, Metazoa, Arthropoda, Insecta, Hymenoptera, Ichneumonidae. The record is from RefSeq and is a predicted model, not a curated record.